UUUCCGUAGGUGAACCUGCGGAAGGAUCAUUAAA
RNAcentral lists this ribosomal RNA (34 nucleotides) under Papiliotrema laurentii. RNAcentral's name for it is "partial 18S ribosomal RNA". The record is from RNAcentral. Lineage: Eukaryota; Fungi; Basidiomycota; Tremellomycetes; Tremellales; Rhynchogastremaceae.